AUUGAACGCUGGCGGCAUGGCUAAAACAUGCAAGUCGAACGCACCAGCAAUGGUGAGUGGCGAAAGGGUCAGUAACGCGAUCGAACGUACCCCGAGGUGGGGGAGUAGGCACGGGAAACUGUGCGUAAUACCCCACUGUGAUCUACGGAUCAAAGAUUUUUCGUCCUUGGGAGCGGCGAUCGUCCUAUCAGGUAGUUGGCGGGGUAACGGCCCACCAAGCCUAAGACGGGUAGCGGGUGUGAGAGC
Molecule: ribosomal RNA, 246 nt
Filed under: uncultured bacterium
Lineage: Bacteria
Description: partial 16S ribosomal RNA
Rfam family: Bacterial small subunit ribosomal RNA
Source: RNAcentral